RNAcentral lists this ribosomal RNA (557 nucleotides) under uncultured archaeon. RNAcentral describes it as "bacterial SSU rRNA". It matches the Rfam family "Archaeal small subunit ribosomal RNA", at positions 109 to 670 of the family's 1478-position model. The record is from RNAcentral.
AUGCCCAGGGGACGUGGAUAACCUCGGGAAACUGAGGAUAAACCGCGAUAAGUCAUUACUUCUGGAAUGGGUAAUGACUGAAAUCUACAUGGCCCCUGGAUUGGACUGCGGCCGAUCAGGCUGUUGGUGAGGUAAUGGCCCACCAAACCUGUAACCGGUACGGGCUCUGAGAGGAGGAGCCCGGAGAUGGGCACUGAGACAAGGGCCCAGGCCCUAUGGGGCGCAGCAGGCGCGAAACCUCUGCAAUAGGCGAAAGCCUGACAGGGUUACUCUGAGUGAUUUCCGUUAAGGAGAUCUUUUGGCACCUCUAAAAAUGGUGCAGAAUAAGGGGUGGGCAAGUCUGGUGUCAGCCGCCGCGGUAAUACCAGCACCCCGAGUGGUCGGGACGUUUAUUGGGCCUAAAGCAUCCGUAGCCGGUUCUACAAGUCUUCCGUUAAAUCCACCUGCUUAACAGAUGGGCUGCGGAAGAUACUAUAGAGCUAGGAGGCGGGAGAGGCAAGCGGUACUCGAUGGGUAGGGGUAAAAUCCGUUGAUCCAUUGAAGACCACAGUGGCGAA